AGUCAAGUGAAUAAGUGCAUCAGGUGGAUGCCUUGGCGAUGAUAGGCGAAGAAGGACGUGUAAGCCUGCGAAAAGCACGGAGAAGCUGGCAAAAAAGCAAUGAUACCGUGAUGUCCGAAUGGGGAAACCCACUGCACUCGUGCAGUAUCCUAGUCUGAAUACAUAGGGCUAGAGAAGCGAACCUGGAGAACUGAACCAUCUAAGUACCCAGAGGAAAAGAAAUCAACCGAGAUUCCGCAAGUAGUGGCGAGCGAACGCGGAAAAGCCUGUAUAUGAUAAUGGUUAAGAUAGAAGAAGGGAUUGGAAACUUCCGCCAUAGUGGGUGAUAGCCCCGUAUUUGAAAUCUUAACCAUGGUACUAAGUAUACGAGAAGUAGGGCGGGACACGUGAAAUCCUGUCUGAAUAUGGGGGGACCAUCCUCUAAGGCUAAAUACUCAUCAUCGACCGAUAGUGAACCAGUACCGUGAGGGAAAGGCGAAAAGAACCCCGGAAGGGGAGUGAAAUAGAACCUGAAACCUGAUGCAUACAUACAGUGGGAGCAUCUUUGUGGUGUGACUGCGUACCUUUUGUAUAAUGGGUCAACGACUUACAUUCAGUAGCGAGCUUAACCGAGUAGGGGAGGCGUAGGGAAACCGAGUCUUAAUAGGGCGACUAGUUGCUGGGUGUAGACCCGAAACCGAGUGAUCUAUCCAUGGCCAGGAUGAAGGUGCGGUAAAACGCAUUGGAGGUCCGAACCCACGCAUGUUGCAAAAUGCGGGGAUGAGCUGUGGAUAGGGGUGAAAGGCUAAACAAACUCGGAGAUAGCUGGUUCUCCCCGAAAACUAUUUAGGUAGUGCCUCGAGUAUGAGACUGAUGGGGGUAAAGCACUGUUAUGGCUAGGGGGUUAUUGCAACUUACCAACCCAUGGCAAACUAAGAAUACCAUCAAGUUGCUCCUCGGGAGACAGACAUCGGGUGCUAACGUCCGGUGUCAAGAGGGAAACAACCCAGACCGCCAGCUAAGGUCCCAAAUGAUAGAUUAAGUGGUAAACGAAGUGGGAAGGCACAGACAGCCAGGAUGUUGGCUUAGAAGCAGCCAUCAUUUAAAGAAAGCGUAAUAGCUCACUGGUCGAGUCUUCCUGCGCGGAAGAUGUAACGGGGCUCAAAUCUAUAACCGAAGCUGCGGAUAUACUUUUGUAUAUGGUAGGGGAGCGUUCUGUAAGCCUGUGAAGGUGACUUGUAAAGGUUGCUGGAGGUAUCAGAAGUGCGAAUGUUGACAUGAGUAGCGAUAAAGUGGGUGAAAAGCCCGCUCGCCGAAAGCCCAAGGUUUCCUACGCAACGUUCAUCGGCGUAGGGUGAGUCGGCCCCUAAGGCGAGGCAGAAAUGCGUAGUCGAUGGGAAACAGGUUAAUAUUCCUGUACUUUGAUUCAAUGCGAUGUGGGGACGGAGAAGGUUAGGUUAGCAAACUGUUGGAAUAGUUUGUUUAAGCUAGUAGGUGGAAAGAGUAGGCAAAUCCGCUCUUUCUUAACACCGAGACGUGAUGACGAGUGUCUACGGACAUGAAGUGACCAAUACC
RNAcentral lists this ribosomal RNA (1554 nucleotides) under Kingella kingae. RNAcentral's name for it is "partial 23S ribosomal RNA". It matches the Rfam family "Bacterial large subunit ribosomal RNA", at positions 1 to 1601 of the family's 2925-position model. The record is from RNAcentral. Lineage: Bacteria; Pseudomonadati; Pseudomonadota; Betaproteobacteria; Neisseriales; Neisseriaceae.